GGCCUACCAUGGUGGUAACGGGUAACGGGGUGUUAGGGCACGACACCGGAGAGGGAGCCUGAGAAACGGCUACCACAUCCAAGGAAGGCAGCAGGCGCGCAAAUUACCCAAUCCCGACACGGGGAGGUAGUGACAAUAAAUAACAAUACGGGGCUCAUUUGGGUCUCGUAAUUGGAAUGAGUACAAUUUAAAUCUCUUAACGAGGAACAAUUGGAGGGCAAGUCUGGUGCCAGCAGCCGCGGUAAUUCCAGCUCCAAUAGCGUAUAUUAAAGUUGUUGCAGUUAAAAAGCUCGUAGUUGAACUUCGGGGUUCACCCAUUGGUCAGGCUUAAUUGUCUGUACUGGUGAGAUGAGUCUCUACCUUCUGAGGAACUUUCAUGCCAUUUAUUUGGUGGGGUCGGAAAUCAGGACUGUUACUUUGAAAAAAUUAGAGUGUUUAAAGCAGGCUCGCGCUUGAAUACAUUAGCAUGGAAUAAUGAAAUAGGACGUUGAUCCUAUUUUGUUGGUUUCUAGGAUUGACGUAAUGAUUAAUAGGGAUAGUUGGGGGCAUUAGUAUUCAAUUGUCAGAGGUGAAAUUCUUGGAUUUAUUGAAGACUAACUACUGCGAAAGCAUUUGCCAAGGAUGUUUUCAUUAAUCAAGAACGAAAGUUAGGGAUCGAAGACGAUCAGAUACCGUCGUAGUCUUACCAUAACUAUGCGACUAGGGAUCGGAUGAUGUUACUUUUAGGACUCGCGGCACUUAUG
RNAcentral lists this ribosomal RNA (743 nucleotides) under uncultured Glomeromycotina. RNAcentral's name for it is "SSU rRNA". It matches the Rfam family "Eukaryotic small subunit ribosomal RNA", at positions 338 to 1091 of the family's 1831-position model. The record is from RNAcentral. Lineage: Eukaryota; Fungi; Glomeromycota.